RNAcentral lists this ribosomal RNA (382 nucleotides) under uncultured eukaryote. RNAcentral describes it as "partial 18S ribosomal RNA". It matches the Rfam family "Eukaryotic small subunit ribosomal RNA", at positions 592 to 976 of the family's 1831-position model. The record is from RNAcentral.
CAAUAGCGUAUAUUAAAGUUGUUGCAGUUAAAAAGCUCGUAGUUGGAUUUCUGGUUGAAGCUACCGGUCGGGCGUUGAUUCGUCUGCACUGGAGUCGGUUUUGGCCAUCCUCUAGGAAAGUGCGUCUGGUAUUAAGUUAUCGGGCGUAUGAUCCUGGUCUUUUACUGUGAAAAAAUUAGAGUGUUUAAAGCAGGCCUUCGCCUUGAAUACAUUAGCAUGGAAUAAUAAGAUAGGACUUUGGUCUAUUUUGUUGGUUUGCAGACCGAAGUAAUGAUUAAUAGGGAUAGUUGGGGGUAUUUAUAUUCCGAUGUCAGAGGUGAAAUUCUUAGAUUUUCGGAAGAUAAACUUAUGCGAAAGCAUUUACCAAGGAUGUUUUCAUUAA